AGGUGAACCUGCGGAAGGAUCAUUAACUAUUAUUUUUGCUUUUUUGGUGGUGUUUUUUUUUUUUGCGCCCCAUUAAAGUUAAUUUUCUGUGCACUGUGUCCCUUUGGAUGGGAAAAGGAUAUCUUUUAUUUCUUUUCAUUGGGAUUUUUUUUUCUUGUUUGUUACCGUUUGUUGUUGUUUGUUUGGUUGGGUUGGUGGAAUUUUUUCCCCCUACUUUAUAUACAAUGACGUGGAAGAAAAAAGAAAAAAGAAAAAAAUGUAUUUUAUCAUUCUGGUUGAUUUUUUUUUUAAAAUAAUUUAUUAAAAUUAUUUAAAUAAAGACAACUUUCAGCAAUGGAUCUCUUGGCUCUUG
RNAcentral lists this unclassified non-coding RNA (352 nucleotides) under uncultured fungus. RNAcentral describes it as "partial contains 18S rRNA, ITS1 and 5.8S rRNA". The record is from RNAcentral. Lineage: Eukaryota; Fungi.